UGUUGUCUAUAUGGUUCCCUCUCAGACCUUACACUUGGAAAUUCUACUCUAACAUUCUCAACAAGUGUUGGAAUAUGAGAAAUAGAAGUGUUCUCUCUAUUCCUAUCUCUACUAUAACCAGAUUCUGUCAACAUAGAAUCACGUUGGUUAUUCUUAAUGAAAUCAAUAUAUAGUUUAUACAAAAGACAGGGAACUAAUGGAAGA
RNAcentral lists this long non-coding RNA (204 nucleotides) under Lupinus angustifolius (narrow-leaved blue lupine). RNAcentral describes it as "long non-coding RNA (LANG_LNC003713)". Lineage: Eukaryota; Viridiplantae; Streptophyta; Magnoliopsida; Fabales; Fabaceae. The record is from RNAcentral.